CUUCACUCCACUAACCUCUGUGCAGCAAGGUUGCCACAGCAUUUUUGGAAUUCUGCUGACGUGACGAGAACCUUCAGCUCCUCGGCACUCUACGGAAAGUCAGAGCUGACUCCACUUGGAGUUUCCGUGAGGUUCACCAUGAGGCAGAAUUACAAGCUUGGGAUGCACAUGUGAUGUUUGGAACUGCAGCUGCCACCUUGAGAUCAUGAAGCACGAGAAUGAAAAGACAUUAACCCUGAGGAUGGCAAAGAAGGAUGGAAAAAGCAUGGAAGGAUCAGCAAGUGACUGAACAAAUUCUGAGACCACCUAGCU
RNAcentral lists this long non-coding RNA (312 nucleotides) under Mustela putorius furo (domestic ferret). RNAcentral's name for it is "lncRNA (ENSMPUG00000025728.1)". Lineage: Eukaryota; Metazoa; Chordata; Mammalia; Carnivora; Mustelidae. The record is from RNAcentral.